This 342-nucleotide ribosomal RNA is filed under the name uncultured bacterium. RNAcentral's name for it is "bacterial SSU rRNA". It matches the Rfam family "Bacterial small subunit ribosomal RNA", at positions 338 to 795 of the family's 1533-position model. The record is from RNAcentral.
CCUACGGGGGGCUGCAGUAGGGAAUAUUGCGCAAUGGACGGAAGUCUGACGCAGCGACGCCGCGUGAGCGAUGAAGGUCUUCGGAUCGUAAAGCUCUGUCCUUGGCGUAGAAGGCGAGUAGGCGGCCCUUUAAGUCGGAUGUGAAAGCCCGCGGCUUAACCGCGGAAUGGCAUUCGAAACUGGAGGGCUUGAGUGUCGGAGAGGGUAGUGGAAUUCCCAGUGUAGCGGUGAAAUGCGUAGAUAUUGGGAGGAACACCAGUGGCGAAGGCGACUACCUGGACGAUAACUGACGCUGAGGCACGAAAGCUAGGGGAGCAAACAGGCUUAGAUACCCGAGUAGUC